Desmophyllum pertusum is the source of this 74-nucleotide non-coding RNA. Lineage: Eukaryota; Metazoa; Cnidaria; Anthozoa; Scleractinia; Caryophylliidae. The record is from the annotation of a GenBank genome assembly.
GGAGCCAGCAGUGGUUAGGGCGUCGGACUUGUAAUCCGGAGGUCCCGGGUUCAAGUCCUCCACCCGAGUUCAAC